Molecule: ribosomal RNA, 157 nt
Filed under: ascomycete sp. OS-S72
Lineage: Eukaryota; Fungi; Ascomycota
Description: 5.8S ribosomal RNA
Rfam family: 5.8S ribosomal RNA
About the family: 5.8S ribosomal RNA (5.8S rRNA) is a component of the large subunit of the eukaryotic ribosome. It is transcribed by RNA polymerase I as part of the 45S precursor that also contains 18S and 28S rRNA.
Source: RNAcentral
AACUUUCAACAACGGAUCUCUUGGUUCUGGCAUCGAUGAAGAACGCAGCGAAAUGCGAUAAGUAAUGUGAAUUGCAGAAUUCAGUGAAUCAUCGAAUCUUUGAACGCACAUUGCGCCCCGUGGUAUUCCCGCGGGGCAUGCCUGUUCGAGCGUCAUU